RNAcentral lists this ribosomal RNA (445 nucleotides) under uncultured bacterium. RNAcentral's name for it is "partial 16S ribosomal RNA". It matches the Rfam family "Bacterial small subunit ribosomal RNA", at positions 354 to 796 of the family's 1533-position model. The record is from RNAcentral.
GUGAGGAAUAUUGCGCAAUGGAGGCAACUCUGACGCAGCCAUGCCGCGUGCAGGAAGAAGGCGCUACGCGUUGUAAACUGCUUUUAACCGGGAAGAAACCCCAGGACGUGUCCUGGGUUGACGGUACCGGAGGAAUAAGCACCGGCUAACUUCGUGCCAGCAGCCGCGGUUAUACGAAGGGUGCAAGCGUUAUCCGGAUUCAUUGGGUUUAAAGGGUGCGUAGGCGGAGCGUUAAGUCAGUGGUGAAAUCCUGCAGCUUAACUGUAGACUUGCCAUUGAUACUGGCGCUCUUGAGUGCGCUUGAAGUGGGCGGAAUGUGCCGUGUAGCGGUGAAAUGCUUAGAUAUGGCACAGAACACCAAUUGCGAAGGCAGCUCACUAAGGCGAUACUGACGCUGAGGCACGAAAGCGUGGGGAUCGAACAGGAUUAGAAACCCUGGUAGUCC